AAUUCUCAACUUUGCUUGUCUUUUCGAGCGAAGCUUGGAUUUUGGAGCGUGCUGGCGAAGGUCGGCUCCUCUUUAAAUGCAUGAGCGGAAAAGUCAUAUUUGACUUUUGCGGUGAAUCGGCGUGAUAAUAAUGUUGUUGCGUCGUUGGCCCAAAGGUCUCUGUCCGCUUACAAUGGUCUUCGGACGACUUAUUAUGAA
This 198-nucleotide unclassified non-coding RNA is filed under the name uncultured Byssocorticium. Its description in RNAcentral is "sequence contains ITS2". Lineage: Eukaryota; Fungi; Basidiomycota; Agaricomycetes; Atheliales; Atheliaceae. The record is from RNAcentral.